This 322-nucleotide ribosomal RNA is filed under the name uncultured eukaryote. Its description in RNAcentral is "partial 18S ribosomal RNA". It matches the Rfam family "Eukaryotic small subunit ribosomal RNA", at positions 1470 to 1796 of the family's 1831-position model. The record is from RNAcentral.
CCCUUAGAUGUUCUGGGCUGCACGCGCGCUACACUGGUGCACUCAACAAGUUUACAACCUUGAUCGAUAGGUCUGGGUAAUCUUUUGAAUAUGCACCGUGCUAGGGAUAGAUUAUUGCAAUUAUUAAUCUUGAACGAGGAAUUCCUAGUAAAUGCAAGUCAUCAGCUUGCAUUGAUUACGUCCCUGCCCUUUGUACACACCGCCCGUCGCACCUACCGAUUGAAUGGUCCGGUGAAAUCUCGGGACGGCGGCUUGGUCGCUUGCGUCCGACUGCUGAAACUUGAUUAAACCAUAUCAUUUAGAGGAAGGUGAAGUCGUAACA